Homo sapiens (human) is the source of this 1553-nucleotide long non-coding RNA. NCBI's taxonomy places the organism in Eukaryota, Metazoa, Chordata, Mammalia, Primates, Hominidae. The record is from Ensembl.
ACUUCCCGUGGUUUUCGGUUGAACCGAAACCUGGCCGUUGGCUGAGCGAGCGCGGGGUGUUUGGGAUGCGGCACGGCGAGGGGGAGCAGGCUUGGCUCGGGCGUAGGGAAUUGGUUUUUUUGUUUUAGCUAUCCAGGUUGUGACUGGUUUACAUAAUUACACGAUUAAGCCAUCAUUGUAGGAAAGGCUUUGCAGGAGAAAAAUGUCUUAACUGGAGGUCUUUGAGACAGAAAAACCCUGCCUCAGCCCUUGGGUCCUGAGAGUCGCGUUUCUUCUCCCCUUCGCUUAAAUAUGUAAACCAGAAUCAUUAUGUUUGGUUCAUGGAACGGAGGAAAAAAAUCCGUGUGCAGGGUCGAGACUGUCGUGGCGGAAGCCGCAGCACCCGGGAGGCAGGUGGGGAGAAAAAACGGGACCUGCUGCCGGGGACCCCUCCCGCUUUCUGGCAGUUUUCUAUUCAGCGUCCUCGGCUGUGAGAAAACAUCCCAGAUGCUGAAACCAAUAGUCUUAGCCCAGAAUCUCAAACGCCGUGGCAAAGAGGGAGUGACGACGGCCUGUGGAAAAACCUGAGGAGUUUUGGGCUUAGCGCCUUCAUGUAGAGGGGACGUGGAGGCGGGGAGGGCGUUCUAGGGUCGGCUGCGUAAUUAUACGAGGCACUGGAAAGUGAUGGGUUAGUGUCCUUGGAGUAGACCCCUGGGUUUUAUUGAACUGAUCUGAAAGGCUGGGCCCUGAGCCACACAGGGGACCUGUCAAACAGCUUCAAGCGGAAGAUGGGGCUCACGGGACUGGACUCUCUCUGCAGCCAGCUGUAAUUAACACAAAAGCAGAAGAGUUUGGGUAGAUUAUAGAAUGCCAGCUUUGAACAUCUUUUGGGGGACAGGGCACUCUGGGAGACCAAGUUCUUAGACACCAUAAAAUCAAAAAUAGACACCUCUUUGUAGAGGAGUCCAGAUGUCUAAAGAGGAAAUAUGUAAUAGGCUGAUGUUUCUUUUGUUUUUUGUUUGUUUGUUUUUUGAAAAGUUAAAAUACUAAGUUUAUAAAGUGAAAAAGUUACAGUAAGCUAAGGUUGACUUAUUGGAAAAAAUGUGCUUAUACUAUGGAAUGAGACCACCACUUCUCCUGUUGUCCCUCCCAGCUUCUUCUCCACCACCUCCCCUUUUCCCUAGUUUAUAAGACAGGAGAAAAGUGAGACAGCAAAAAGUUAGAAAGAAACAGAAGUAAGAUAAAUAGCUAGACGACCUUGGCGCCACCACCCGGCCUUGGUGGUUAAAAUAAUAAUAAUAAUGUUAACCCCUGACCAAAACUACUUGUGUUAUCUGUAAGUUCCAGACAUUGUAUGAGAAAGCGCUGUAAAACUUUUUGUUCUGUUAGCCGAUGCAUGUAGCCCCCAGUCACGUUCCCCACGCUUGCUCCAUCUAUCACAACCGUUUCACAUGGACCCCCCCCUUCAAGUUGUAAGCCCUUAAAAGGGCUAGGAAUUUCUUUUUUGGGGAGCUCGGCUUUUAAGAUGCGAGUCUGCCAACGCUCUCGGCCGAAUAAACUUCUUCCUUCUUUAA